RNAcentral lists this ribosomal RNA (301 nucleotides) under uncultured bacterium. Its description in RNAcentral is "partial 16S ribosomal RNA". It matches the Rfam family "Bacterial small subunit ribosomal RNA", at positions 509 to 809 of the family's 1533-position model. The record is from RNAcentral.
CAGCCGCCACGGUAAAACGAAGGGGGCUAGCGUUGCUCGGAUUUACUGGGCGUAAAGGGCGCGUAGGCGGACAGUUUAGUCGGGGGUGAAAGCCCGGGGCUCAACCUCGGAAUUGCCUUCGAUACUGGCUGUCUUGAGUACGGGAGAGGUGAGUGGAACUCCGAGUGUAGAGGUGAAAUUCGUAGAUAUUCGCAAGAACACCAGUGGCGAAGGCGGCUCACUGGCCCGGUAUUGACGCUGAGGUGCGAAAGCGUGGGGAGCAAACAGGAUUAGAUACCCCGGUAGUCCCUGUCUCUUAUAA